RNAcentral lists this ribosomal RNA (547 nucleotides) under uncultured bacterium. Its description in RNAcentral is "bacterial SSU rRNA". It matches the Rfam family "Bacterial small subunit ribosomal RNA", at positions 355 to 896 of the family's 1533-position model. The record is from RNAcentral.
UGGGGAAUAUUGCGCAAUGGGGGGAACCCUGACGCAGCCACGCCGCGUGAAUGAAGAAGGCCUUCGGGUUGUAAAGUUCUUUCGGUAUUGAGGAAGGUUGAUGUGUUAAUAGCACAUCAAAUUGACGUUAAAUACAGAAGAAGCACCGGCUAACUCCGUGCCAGCAGCCGCGGUAAUACGGAGGGUGCGAGCGUUAAUCGGAAUAACUGGGCGUAAAGGGCACGCAGGCGGUUAUUUAAGUGAGGUGUGAAAGCCCUGGGCUUAACCUAGGAAUUGCAUUUCAGACUGGGUAACUAGAGUACUUUAGGGAGGGGUAGAAUUCCACGUGUAGCGGUGAAAUGCGUAGAGAUGUGGAGGAAUACCGAAGGCGAAGGCAGCCCCUUGGGAAUGUACUGACGCUCAUGUGCGAAAGCGUGGGGAGCAAACAGGAUUAGAUACCCUGGUAGUCCACGCUGUAAACGCUGUCGAUUUGGGGGUUGGGGUUUAACUCUGGCGCCCGUAGCUAACGUGAUAAAUCGACCGCCUGGGGAGUACGGCCGCAAGGUUA